AUGUGGUUUAAUUCGAAGCAACGCGAAGUAACCUUACCAGGUCUUGACAUCCCGAUGCUAUUUCUAGAGAUAGAAAGUUACUUCGGUACAUCGGUGACAGGUGGUGCAUGGUUGUCGUCAGCUCGUGUCGUGAGAUGUUGGGUUAAGUCCCGCAACGAGCGCAACCCCUAUUGUUAGUUGCCAUCAUUCAGUUGGGCACUCUAGCGAGACUGCCGGUAAUAAACCGGAGGAAGUGGGGAUGACGUCAAAUCAUCAUGCCCCUUAUGACCUGGGCUACACACGUGCUACAAUGGUUGGUACAACGAGUUGCGAGUCGGUGACGGCGAGCUAAUCUCUUAAAGCCAAUCUCAGUUCGGAUUGUAGGCUGCAACUCGCCUACAUGAAGUCGGAAUCGCUAGUAAUCGCGGAUCAGCACGCCGCGGUGAAUACGUUCCCGGGCCUU
This 442-nucleotide ribosomal RNA is filed under the name uncultured Streptococcus sp. RNAcentral describes it as "bacterial SSU rRNA". It matches the Rfam family "Bacterial small subunit ribosomal RNA", at positions 939 to 1382 of the family's 1533-position model. Lineage: Bacteria; Bacillati; Bacillota; Bacilli; Lactobacillales; Streptococcaceae. The record is from RNAcentral.